This 770-nucleotide long non-coding RNA is filed under the name Panax ginseng (ginseng). Its description in RNAcentral is "long non-coding RNA (PGIN_LNC002361)". The record is from RNAcentral. Lineage: Eukaryota; Viridiplantae; Streptophyta; Magnoliopsida; Apiales; Araliaceae.
GGAGGAGGAGGAGGAGGAGGAGGAUGGGAGGAACUCAUUUAGCUGGUGAUGAAUUAAAACGGAUAAAAUGGGACUUGGACGCGACAGCUGUCCAAAAAUGUCAGUCAAGUGGUCGGAGAUUUACCAGGAUUCUGAUUUCUUACCGGCACGCGCAUCCUGCGGCAGUCUUGUGAUGGGUCAUUUUCAAAUAAACUGUGGUAUACCCCUACACCUACCGUUGUUAGUACCUACUGUGUGUGCCUGUUUGGGUGAGCUAAUUGCCAAUUAUAAUCAGACAAAUACUUAACAUGCAUGCGCCUUCCCUUUCUCUUUUCUCAUCUUCUCUUUCGAGUUUCGGCCAUGUGUUUUUUGAGCUCAUCUUUCAAUAGAGGAUCAAACAAAUUUCUUACAACAAAAUUGCUAUAUCAUUUUCACUCCUUGUUAGUUAUUUGUAUAAAAAAAUUUUAUUUUAAUUAUUUUUGGAACCAAAACCGUACCGCACGUUUCAAAACCGAACCGCACCGAUCACAAACGAUUUUAUAUGCGGUUUUGAAUUUAUCAAACCGCACUUAAUCGGUUUCGUUUGCAAUUUGAGCUUCUAACCGCACUAUGCUCACCCCUAUGAAGAGGAUUGUGUUUUUAUUUCUUUUAAUUUUGUUUUUGUUUAGUUAUUAGUCUAUUUUUAAUAAAACUUGGUAUACUAUAUUACUAUUUUAUUCUUAUUAUUUAUAUAAAAUGAUAAAAGAAAAUUUGCAAAAUGACUUAUUAUUAACACAAACACUAAAUGUCAU